RNAcentral lists this unclassified non-coding RNA (3409 nucleotides) under Hevea brasiliensis (rubber tree). The record is from RNAcentral. Lineage: Eukaryota; Viridiplantae; Streptophyta; Magnoliopsida; Malpighiales; Euphorbiaceae.
AAAAAUAUUAGAUUACGAGAUUGAAAUAUAAUUGCCAUUCCUCUCGUUCCUCAGCUGAAAAUGCAAAACUAUGAUUGGAAAAUACACACCAAAAAUCCAUCAGCUACAGAAAAUUUUCAAAAUGCAUUUAUAAGAAGAUGACAGAAGAAAUCAAUAAAUAAAAUGACCUAAUAAACCACCGAUAAGUGGCAUUGUUCCGCAAAGCACUUAACCCAAGAAUCUCUCCAAUUCCUAUAGAGUGGAUUAAAAGAAAAUAAUCAUGAUUCACAUCCGCAAAUACAAAUGAGACAGGGAUGCAUGACCUCAUUUUCUUUCUGGGCCCUUGACACUUUUAACCAGAGACUAAAAUGGAGAAGAGCUAAAAAGAAUUGUCCCAUUUGAACUAACAAGAAACAAAUCAUAUCAUAAACAACUAUUAUACCCACAGACAGAUCUAGCUACCAACAUCUCAUGAAACCAUUACCCGUGCUAUCAUCCCCUGGGUCCAAUUUGCAGUCUCCUUGAGCUGUUCAUCAUCAGAUUGAAGACACUCACCAAGAAAAUCAACAUAGAAUGUGUUGUCUCGAAACAAAAUCUUUGUGUUGGAACCAAGUGCGUCUGCCAGAUCACCCAUCACUGCAACUGCAGCUUUUGUCACACUCUCGUCCCUUUGACGCUCUCUGAAAACCAAUUCUAUAAACUGCAAAAGAUGUCCAGCGUGUGGAAGCAUCACCUCCGGUUUGGAAUUUUUGAAUCCCUGAAGAAUACCAGAAUAAGCUUCAAAGAUGCUACACUUGAGCUGGUUACCAUAGUCAAUAAACUCCUCAUCACUGGUAUUCAUCUGGGCACAGAUCUGAGCAGCACUCUGCAUCAUUGUUAUUGCAGAUUCAAUGUACUUCAAGAAUUGCUCCCCUAUCGCAAGAGCAAUGUCCCCAAAACAAGAGAAUAUGGGAGGCUUGACAGACCGGUGAAGUUCAGCACUUUGGAGAUCAUGGAUAAGGUGGCUCAUGAUCCCAUCACAGUAAGGUAAAACCUUGUCAUCCAUUGCACGGCAAAUGUCACCAAACACCCCAGUUGUUAUGGCACAAACCUGAUACUCCUCAAAAUUCUGCAAUCCCAUCUCCAGAUACUUGUAUAACUCAGGCAUGUACUUGCCAAACUCUGGCCCAGAGGCAUAAGCCAGAGCACCAAUUGCAAGCAUUGCUUCCUCAUGCACGGUAGAGCUCCGGCAAGCCAACACUCUGAGGAAUAGAAUCAUAAUUGGAUCUGAAGCCUGGAGUAUAAUGGGCUUGGUCUCAUCAGUACUGCCAAGUUUCUGGAUGAUGACUUGUAGAACACCACAAAGGGAAGCCUGUAAAUCUCCUUGCUUCUCUCUGUCAUCUGAAGAUAAAAUCUGAAGAUCUAGAGUCUGCCCUAACUUGUUCAUGAUGACUGGGAGCAGCUCAGAAAUAAUAUGAGAAGUUUCCACAAUACUGGAAGACCUGAUAACCUCAUUCAAGGUUUCAUAUGCAGAAGACCUAAGCUUUGAGUCGCCGCCAUCUGUACGCUCAGCAGUUUUAAGAAGUUGAGAGAUUAUGCCAGGAAGGCAAGGAGUGAGGAGAGAGGAGCUACUUCCUGCAUCCUCAUAUCCCUGAGCAAGGUAAUAGAUUGCCCCACAAACCUUCUCAGCUACAUGUGGAGCAUCAUUGAUACUUUCCAGUAAAACUGCCACAACCCGGAGGAGGUUCUCAGGGGAAAUCACAGAAAAUCCAUUGGCGGGACUGUGCAACAACUCAAAUACACGACUGAGAGUCCAUGCAGUUGUGUCCUUCACAUGUUUAUUUCCAUCCCUCAUAGCAUUAAGCAGAAAAUCCAAGCCAGCAUUAACUAGUGGGGUAAGCUUAUCAAUACUAGGGCCUUCAAGAAUUGAGCCAAAUGCAAAUGUAGCUGCUUCACGACAAUGCCAAUCUGGCUUUACUAUGUUAGCCUCCACAAAAGGCAUUACAAGGGGCACAACAUCAUCCCCAACAGUUCUAGCAACAAGACCAAGACAUGUCCCCCCGGCCAUGGAUAGAUUCCAGAUGCUAUCAUCCUGAUCUUGAUCCUCUUCCUGCUUCAAUAAUGUUUCCAGCAACAUAGGAACAAGAGAUGGAAGGGCCUUCUUUAUGAAAUGACAAUGCACAUGCUCAAAAUGCCCACCUUCAUGACUAUCAUAUUCUUGACGCUCUAUCUCUUCAUCACAGAUGGAGCUCCAGAAUUCAAUUGCUUGGAGGGCAACUGUCUCUUCAUCUCCUUUUACCGCAUUUGAUGUAAGUUGAAAGAGGGUCUGCAUAUAAGGUUCAAGCACAGCAUAGUAUGUUGACGCUAUUGAAACAAGACACUCAAAAGCACCCUGUCUAACCUCUGCCUCUUUGGACAAGGCUGUCUCACAGACCACCUUCAUUAUGUAAUUUCGCUCCAUUUCAUUUUCAAAGUUGGUCUGUGCAAAAAUCAAGGCAUCAUAUAAAGCCCUUGUUGCUGCAAGGCGGAUUUCAGGACCAUGCUGUAUAAGGGUCAUGCCUUGGACAACUGCAGUCAGAAUAGCAUUUACUUCGUCUUGCACAAGGUCCUGAUCAGAUAUCCCCUCACAAACAUAACCAAGAGUUUCCAGGGUUGCCUGUUUUAAUGCUGCAGGACCAUCUUGCUGGGUCAUAUUGUUAAGCAAUGAUCCAAUUAGCUCAGGCCAUUGCUUCUGGGGAAUCUCAAUGGAAGCAACCUUGGCAAUUACUUGGGCAGAUGUAUUUCUAGCCUCCUGUACAGAUGAACCAAGUGUUCUCAAUAGCAAGUCUUUGAUUUGAGAUUUAAUAGAAAUUUCAAUUGCCAUCCAUUGUUGGACAAGAUGUUCCUUUCUCGUGGCAUCUUUUGCAUCCAAAGAGUUCUUAAGCACAAUGCCAGCCAACCGACGAGAUUCAUUAGGUUUCUCAUUAUUUGCAAGUUCAAUUGAUAAAGAUAAAAGGAAAAGAGGCAAAUUCUGCUCUUGGAACUGCCUAAGAUUAGCCUCUGCCUCAUUUCGGACUUUUGCAUCCAAUGACUGGGCAGACAACAAAAUUGCAGUGAUCUCCAAAGCCAUUUCUUUCAACACUCUAGCAAUAGGAACCUGAUAAAACCCCACUGAAGAUAAACCUAGGGUUUCUCUCUCUCUCUUUAUCUCCUCUCCCGCGCCCUCUCACUGUACUAUUGUCGAACGAAACGAAGCGAAGAUGAAGAGAGAGAUUGGUGACUGUCUGGAGCGUAGGUUGUGGGCUUCUCGUAUGAGUAUGAUAGGGAAGCUGCGUGUUCUGGUUUGUAGGUGUGUAGAUGAGAGCUGAGAUUUGGAUGGAUGGGUAGGAAAUGAAGCUCCUUGCGGGUUGAUUGAAGAUGUACGAAAUGGCCGGAGUGAAUUUUUGAGAGUGGCGGGUGUGAUAGUGCUGCG